UUUGCUGUCAGUUUUUCUGUUUGUUGUUUAUCUUGAUUUUAUGCCUUUUAUAUCAAGGCACAUAAAAGGCAUAAAACCAAGAGAAGCAACAGAAAAAGGAUUGAUCACAGAAG
Cercocebus atys (sooty mangabey) is the source of this 113-nucleotide microRNA precursor. The record is from Ensembl. NCBI's taxonomy places the organism in Eukaryota, Metazoa, Chordata, Mammalia, Primates, Cercopithecidae.